GUUUACGGCCAUACCAGCCUGGGUACGCCCGAUCUCGUCUGAUCUCGGAAGCUAAGCAGGGUUGGGCCUGGUUAGUACUUGGAUGGGAGACCGCCUGGGAAUACCAGGUGCUGUAAGCU
This 119-nucleotide ribosomal RNA is filed under the name Salmo trutta (river trout). Lineage: Eukaryota; Metazoa; Chordata; Actinopteri; Salmoniformes; Salmonidae. The record is from RNAcentral.